AAAUUGAAGAGUUUGAUCAUGGCUCAGAUUGAACGCUGGCGGCAGGCCUAACACAUGCAAGUCGAACGGUAGCACAGAGAGCUUGCUCUCGGGUGACGAGUGGCGGACGGGUGAGUAAUGUCUGGGAAACUGCCUGAUGGAGGGGGAUAACUACUGGAAACGGUGGCUAAUACCGCAUAACGUCGCAAGACCAAAGAGGGGGACCUUCGGGCCUCUUGCCAUCAGAUGUGCCCAGAUGGGAUUAGCUAGUUGGUGAGGUAACGGCUCACCAAGGCGACGAUCCCUAGCUGGUCUGAGAGGAUGACCAGCCACACUGGAACUGAGACACGGUCCAGACUCCUACGGGAGGCAGCAGUGGGGAAUAUUGCACAAUGGGCGCAAGCCUGAUGCAGCCAUGCCGCGUGUAUGAAGAAGGCCUUCGGGUUGUAAAGUACUUUCAGCGGGGAGGAAGGUGUUGUGGUUAAUAACCGCAGCAAUUGACGUUACCCGCAGAAGAAGCACCGGCUAACUCCGUGCCAGCAGCCGCGGUAAUACGGAGGGUGCAAGCGUUAAUCGGAAUUACUGGGCGUAAAGCGCACGCAGGCGGUCUGUCAAGUCGGAUGUGAAAUCCCCGG
Molecule: ribosomal RNA, 614 nt
Filed under: Salmonella enterica subsp. enterica serovar Enteritidis
Lineage: Bacteria; Pseudomonadati; Pseudomonadota; Gammaproteobacteria; Enterobacterales; Enterobacteriaceae
Description: bacterial SSU rRNA
Rfam family: Bacterial small subunit ribosomal RNA
Source: RNAcentral